RNAcentral lists this ribosomal RNA (3029 nucleotides) under Meloidogyne arenaria. Its description in RNAcentral is "eukaryotic LSU rRNA". It matches the Rfam family "Eukaryotic large subunit ribosomal RNA", at positions 1 to 2540 of the family's 3401-position model. The record is from RNAcentral. Lineage: Eukaryota; Metazoa; Nematoda; Chromadorea; Rhabditida; Meloidogynidae.
AGCCUUAUCGGUGGAUCACUCGGCUCGUGGAUCGAUGAAGAACGCAGCAAACUGCGAUAAUUUGUGCGAACUGCAGAAACCUUGAGCACAAAAGUUUUGAACGUAUAUUGCAGCAUUGGGGUCAAACCCUUUGCUACGUCUGGUUCAGGGUCAUUUUCUUUUAAAGCGAAAGCUUUAAUUUAUAUAUGCUAUUGAUGCUUUAUAUUUUAAGAGGUUUGUUGUUUGUCAUAAUUUUAUAAAUAUAACUACAAAAAUCAAGCAACUUUGACCUGAACUCAGUCGAGAGCACCCGCUGAACUUAAGCAUAUCAGUAAGCGGAGGAAAAGAAACUAAACAGGAUUCCCCCAGUAACGGCGAGUGAACAGGGAAAUGUCCAUCGCUAAAUCAUUUUGUCUCAGGCAUUAUGAGGUGUAGCGUAUAAGCCGUAAACUUUGAUCGAGUGUCUCAAACAAGUCCCCUUGACAGGGGUUCCACAGAAGGUGCAAGUCCUGUACAUUGAGAUAGUUGAUCGAUAUCUGCGUGCUUUAGAGUCGGGUUGUUUGGGAUCGCAGCCCAAAGUCGGUGGUAAACUUCAUCUAAGACUCAAUAUUGCCACGAGACCGAUAGCAAACAAGUACUGUGAAGGAAAGUUGCAAAGCACUUUGAAGAGAGAGUUAAAGAGGACGUGAAACCGGUGAGGUGGAAACGGAUAGAGUCGGCGUAUCUCUCAAGUAUUCAUUUACAUUAUUUUUAUGUUGUGAUCUCUGAGCUCCAGAUUGGGACAGAAAGAAGCAGCAUAAUUUUCUGUGAUGCAUUUACUUGUUUGGUGCUUGGGGAUGUUUGAGGCAGAUUUGUGUCCGCCGUUUUGAGGCCAGCUUGCUGGUACCCAAACGGUGUUAGCAUUUUUUGUCUUGAACAUUUGAGUAUGGCUUACGGGCAUUUAUUGGUUCGAUCUGAGUGUAAGUUACGGUCGCAUGCGACACGUGCUUUCCAAUUAGUUCGGUCCAGUUAAUGCUCUCGUACUCGUUCCCCAUGUAAAAGCCGGUCAUCUAUCCGACCCGUCUUGAAACACGGACCAAGGAGUUUAUCGUGUGCGCAAGUUUUUGGGUGUUAAAAACCUAAAGGCGAAAUGAAAGUAAAUGGCUCUUUAGAGUCUGAUGUGCGAUCUAGUAAAAAAGUGCAGCAUGGCCCCAUUCUAACUGUUUACAGUAGGGUGGAGGAAGAGCGUACGCGGUGAGACCCGAAAGAUGGUGAACUAUUCCUGAGCAGGACGAAGCCAGAGGAAACUCUGGUGGAAGUCCGAAGCGGUUCUGACGUGCAAAUCGAUCGUCUGACUUGGGUAUAGGGGCGAAAGACUAAUCGAACCAUCUAGUAGCUGGUUCCCUCUGAAGUUUCCCCCAGGAUAGCUGGAGCUCACGCGUAGUUAUACUCGGUAAAGCGAAUGAUUAGAGGACUUGGGAACGAAAUGUUCUUAACCUAUUCUCAAACUCUAAAUGGGUAUGAUGUCAAAGUUGCUUGAUUAUGAACUUUGGCGUUGAAUACGAGCUCCAAGUGGGCCAUUUUUGGUAAGCAGAACUGGCGAUGUGGGAUGAACCAAACGCGGAGUUGCGGUGCCAAAGUACCCGCUCAUUAGACCCCAUAAAAGGUGUUGGUUGAUACAGACAGCAGGACGGUGGCCAUGGAAGUCGGAAUCCGCUAAGGAGUGUGUAACAACUCACCUGCCGAAUCAACUAGCCCUGAAAAUGGAUGGCGCUGGAGCGGGUCACCUAUUCUCUGCCGUCAUAUGCUUGUAUUUUCUGUGAAAAGUCUUGCAAUGACGUGUAAGAGGGUCGUAGUGGUUGCGUUGAAGGCUUUGGGUGUGCACCCAGCUGGAGCUUCCACUAGUGCAGAUCUUGGUGGUAGUAGCAAAUAUUCAAGUGAGAUCCUUGAAGACUGAAGUGGAGAAGGGUUCCACGUGAACAGUAGUUGAAUGUGGGUCAGUCGAUCCUAAGGCACCGGCUAAACCCGUCUAGACACUUCGGGGAGAUGAAAUACUUAACGGUAUUUUGUCUACCUGGUUGCCGAAAGGGAAGUGGGUUAAUAUUCCCACACCAGGCAUGGGAGAUGGUGAUCCGCGAGGAUUACUUUGCGCGGUGACGCAAACGAACUCGCAGACCUCGUGUGGAGUCCGGGCCAGAGUUCUCUUUUCUGGUUUAGAAAUCAUGUCCCUGGAAGUGGCUCAGCCUGAGAUAGGGAUGCUGGUCUCGUAAAGCGCAGCGGUUCCUGUUGUGUCCCGUGUGCUCCACAUGAGCCGUGAAAAUGCGAGGGAGGCAAUUUAAAAUCUCCUGCCUGAUCGUACCCAUAUCCGCAGCAGGUCUCCAAGGUGAACAGCCUCUAGUCGAUAGAAUAAUGUAGGUAAGGGAAGUCGGCAAAUUAGAUUCGUAACUUCGGGAAAAGAAUUGGCUCUAAAGGUUGGGUCAGUCGGGCUGUUGUGUGAAACAGGUGGACUUUGCUCGUGGCUGCUUGAGCUUCCUUACGGGGCGGCGCUUGUGGACUAGUAGUGAGGACUGCUUGUGGAGUGCUUCAGCUGCGUGCUAUUUCGCAAGAUAUAGUACUUCGAUUGGCGCUGAACAACCAGUUUAGAACUGGCACGAACUCCGGGAAUCCGACUGUCUAAUUAAAACAGAGGAGACGGAUGGUCCUUGCAGGACGUUGACCGUGUCUGAUUUCUGCCCAGUGCUCUGAAUGUUAAGCCAAGGAAACUUGAUUAAGCGCGGGUAAACGGCGGGAGUAACUAUGACUCUCUUAAGGUAGCCAAAUGCCUCGUCGGCUAACUACCGACGCGCACGAAUGGAUCAACGAGAUUCCCACUGUCCCUAUCUACUAUCUAGCGAAACCACAGCCAAGGGAACGGGCUUGGCAAAUUUAGCGGGGAAAGAAGACCCUGUUGAGCUUGACUCUAGUCUGACUUUGUGAAGAAUCAUGAGAGGUGUAGCAUAAGUGGGAGUCGCAAGACAACAGUGAAAUACCACUACUUUCAUCGAUUCCUACUUAAUCGGUAAAACGGAGUU